Long non-coding RNA from Agrilus planipennis (emerald ash borer), 1034 nucleotides. RefSeq lists it as uncharacterized. NCBI's taxonomy places the organism in Eukaryota, Metazoa, Arthropoda, Insecta, Coleoptera, Buprestidae. The record is from RefSeq and is a predicted model, not a curated record. The transcript is spliced from 5 exons.
AUCAUCCUUAAGACUACUUACGACAUUCUCCAUUGAUUACUCAUCAGACAUAUGUAUGUUUGUGUCGCAAAUAGUUUUAUGAUUUGAUAAGUAAGCCGGAAGUUUAUCUUUUUUUUAUUCGAAAAUAUGUGCAUCGCUUUCAGCAAGUAAAUUAACAAACAUGGAAAUAAUUUUAAAUAUGGUCUGUAUACAACGUAAUUUGCUUUACUUAUCAUUACUUAUGAAAAAAAAAAAACAUUUUUGUAAACCGAUAAUAUAAAUUUUGCUUCGCUGCUUUAUUCCUACUAUCGGUUAUAAUUUAAUCUAAUUAGCCUUUCUAAAUAUAUAUGAAAUUUUAGGUAAUUCCAAGUCUACAGCACAAACAACUUGGUACAUGGCCCCUAGUGAAUUAUAAUUAUUGGUACUAAAGGUGCAUGUUCAUGUUUUUUUUUAACAUGAACUAAUAACUGUAAAAAAAAACAUAAAGGCUUCUAGAGUGUGCAGUAAAUGCAGAGAUAGCAUGUCCAAUUUACAUCAUAUCCACAUUGGAACAAAACCGAUAAACAAAUUACAGAUUAAACUGAAAUAGGUAUCUACUAUUGUAUUCCUAAAUUAAGGGGUUUUAUUUCAAUGCAGAUAUGGUUGUUAAAAAUCACCAAAAAUACUUUGUGCUAAUAGAAAUUCGUUUAUACACUUACCCAGAAUGAAGUUAUAUUUUGGCCAUGUAUUGCAGCUUCUAUGGCCACUAAACUAAAGGCAGAUUAUGUUGGAUGAUCAGAGGGAUUGGGGCAGUAAGGCUUUUGCUUUACGGUACUAGAUAAAUACCACACUUACUUCAUCUUUUUCUAGGAAGAAUUGCCUUAUAUGAUUACUUCUUUAGUAACCUGAAGCAUUAAUUGAAAAAGAAGCGUAUUAAAAGGACUACAAAAGAACACUGUGUCAUACCAAAACAACAUGUCGAAGAGGACCAGCAUGACAGUUUUAUGUAGCUAACAAAAGUUAAUAAGGACAUCCAACUCCUUAAGAUAACAAAACAUGCCUUUAAAUGAAAUGUU